AUAGACAGAACUAAAAAGGGAAAAAUAAACGGAAGACUAAAAACAGAGAAUUUCAAAAAUGAUAAAAAUUCCCCGUUGUCAUGAACCCUGUGGCAUGCCUUACAUUGUUGAAUAUUUUAACUGAUACGACGGCAAAGGGUAAUGCCAUCACCAACGGGAAGCUGGCAGAUUUCGAUUCUGGGAUCAGCAGCUAAGGCCUUGUUGAGUUCCAAUACGAAAUCUCUAUAAUACCUAACGUAUUUUCUGAGUGGUGCAUCAGGCGGUGCAACUACUGAUCCGUUCCAUAGUGUGUUGUCAUAGCCAAUUACUCCACCAACCUUAACCAAGUCGAUUAAUCUCUUGUGAUAGUUCAAAUAGUUGUCUUUGUCAGCGUCCACAAAUAUGAAGUCAUAUGAUCCAUGGUAUUUCCCCUGUUAUAACAAAAUUAUUCAAAAGAAACAUCAACAUUAAACAUUGUACACAAGUUAUCAAUUUAUUUAUUUAUUUAUGGGAUUUUAGCUACUUACGUCUUCAAUCAUUUGGUCAAGAACAGGAAGUGCAGGGCCUUCUCUAAAUUCAAUUUUGUGUGCUAGACCAGCCUUUUCAAUCACUGGUAGACCAAUCUCAUAGUUAUCGCGGUUGAUAUCCAUGGCCAGAAUCUGAAUCAUCAAUUUUAGCAAACAAUUUAUAAUUGUUAUCUCGUGUAUUCAGGUUAGUCAAAAAUACAGAAACAACAAUUAGUAAAAGUUAAUUACCUUGCCAUCAUCUGGAAGAGCCAUGGCAGUUGCCAGCAGAGAGUAACCAGUAAAAACGCCAAUUUCCAUGGUGUUUUUGGCAUUGAUGAGUUUGAGAAGCAUAUUCAAGAAUUGUCCUUCAUCAGCAGAGGUGGUCAUAAGGUUCCUGUUUUUUCCACCAAAGGAAGAUUUCAUGCUUAGUUCCAGCUACAAUAUUUAAGUAUCGAAUUGGUUGAACUAAAGUGAAAAAAUGAGUAGGAGAAAGUUACCAAGGGUGUUUUGCAGUAAUCUCUCUUAGUUCUUUCAUGGCUUCAGGCUCUCUCGGGUACACGCUUGUUUCAAGAAUGUACUGUUUAAACACAAAUCAAACAAUUUAUUAAGACCAACACGACGUUCAUAAAAUGUUUUACAUACUAAUUUCUUGUAUGACAAUAUGAAUUAAAAGUGGAAUGUGGGGUUUAAUUUUCUUACCUGAUAUAGGGCAUCGCUUUGCAAGAGACUCUUGUGUCCAACUUCUUGGUGUCUACCAUUUUCUCCAUUGCUUGCCAUUGCUGCUUGGUAUUGAAGUGGAUAUGCUAAUACUAUCUAUCUUUUGUUUCUGAUGUAGAUUAGUCUUAGGUAAGCAACCUGCUUUUGUAGAGACGAAAAUGGCUUAAUUUAUAGUAGUAGAAAACAAGAGAGAUGUAUUGUGUAAAGAGUGGAGGGGUUGUUUGGGUGACAAUGAUUGGAAGUUGGUGAAUAUUUGGCUCUUUCUUGUACAGUUUCUUGGAGAAUAUAACCAAACGACCAACUCCUUUUUUGACUUAAAACUCAUUACCUUACAAUACUCACCACCAACAUCUCACUUUCCUAAUUUCAGAUUGGGCUUCUUUGUUUGACAAUUUAAGUUGAAAAGUAUUCUCUAUUUAAGAUCGAUCCAUGUCAAGUGGACAACGCAUUGCUUAUAUUUUCUAAAAAAACUCUAGGAUUACUACUAACUCUAAAUGAUAAUCAUUAAAAGUAGUUGGUUGCUUACAUAAUAAAUAAUGAGGAUGAAUAUUUGGUAAAAAAACAUUUGUUAAAGAAUGAUUAUUUUUAUUGAGUUUAAGUAACAUACACCGUGGUCAUAUAUGGAUGGAAGACUUGUACUUCUACGGAUAAAUAAAUUUUUGGAUGAAAGCGGAGUGAGACAAUGAAAUUGUGUAGCAAGAAGGAUAUCUUAUUUUGGAUGAUCUGAUGGUGACUAUAUAUAGAACUUAAACUUAUAUUUAUUUAUCUAUAUUGAGUUUUAGAUUAUUAUUUUUACCCCUCCCUAAGAGCUACAACCUUUUUCUACUCCUUUAGAGCCUCGAACCUACCAUUAGAAGUGAAGAGUGUCUAUCUUUUCAGCAAUUCCCUCUUAUCAAAGUUGGGAAAUUUCAACUUAUAUGUAGUAUUUAUUUUGUAAUAUUAUUUUAGACAACGAAUUUCUAUGAGUCAUCUUAUUCCGCAAUAUUGGUCAAUUGAUUUUUAUAGUGAUACAAAUUAACGAAUAUAUUUGAGAUAAGGAGUAUAAAUCAAAUGGAUUAAAAUUGGACCGGUUUGGCCAUAAAAAUAUUUAUUUAUUCUUGAAAAUAGAGUUUGACAUGAAAAUUUUCAAAUUCAACUUGAAGUUGCAUUUCAAUUACAAAACAGUUCAUGACUUGUUUUCCAGCUAAUAUUUUAUUUUUAAAGUUGUAUUUAAGUAUAUUCGCAUGAACAUUAUUCUAUAUAUUUAUUUACAAAAAGUUAAUUAAACAAAGCUUCAUCUUCAACUCCAACUCCAUAAAUUUCAAAUAAAGUGAAAAAUAUUUGAUAUUUAUGCCAAACUCCUACUUAGAAUCAUGAAGGCUGUGCGCAAACGACAAAAUGUUGCCCAACUUUAUUUAUAUAGCGGUGUUUGAUUAUGCCUGAAAACGUUUUUAUUUAACAAAAAGAAACAACUUUUGACACACAUGAAAAUUUAAAAGUAUAACUAAUAAUUUUCUGUCUUAAAUAUACCCAGAGAUUUCUGCAGCUAUAAAAACCUGUAAUUGAGGACAAAAAAAGCUUGAAAUUAAAGGGUCCAAUAAAUUAGUAAGAGAGAGUAGUUAGAUUAAUCAGUUUCAGAUUAUAGUGAUUUUCUCACUGUCUAACAAUGUAAAACCCAAGUACUUAAAAAAACAAGUAGUUGGAAUUCAAAGAUGAGUAGAAAAUAGCUAUGACAUUGCCAUUUGCCAAAUGUAAUUCACUGAUCUGCUUGUAUAUGUAUGGUGUAUUUUUCUUCUCCAACGCGAUUCUGUCAAAUGCAAUUGGGGAUAAAGCAACAUAAACUCGUCUAAUUCAUGCAAAUUCAGAAUUCAAUUUUUUUCAAGAAUAACAUACUUUGAAGGCUUGUGUUUAAAUUUUUAUCUCUGUUGUAAAGAUUUUUGCAUAUAAGACCAAGCAGCAUAUUUUUCAAAGUUAUGCCCUCGCCCAGAAAAAUUACUCUAAUUGCCUGAUCAUAUUUGUGAAAAUCUCCACUGUGGAUUUUGUUGGUUUUAGUGCAUUGUUUCAAUAACCUAAAGAUCGACCCACAAUUGCAGCAAUAAUGCAACAAAUGAGUAGGAGGCAUUUUGUAUAGUUUGGUGCUUGGAAGUUGUUGAAAGAUGCUUCUUGCUAAUCAAUACUAGCAGAAAAAGUUUGUGGAUGAAUGAUCUUUACUAAUUCAAACCUCAUCUUUUGGUUCGAAACUGCAAGUUUGGUCAUGGGUGUCACCUAACAGAUUCCCCACUAGCCCCAUUGACAUAUGACAUUUGUGUACAUUUGAUCAUUCAACUUGAAUUUCUUUUUUUUUAUUUAUUUAUCAAAAUACAUUGUGAAAUAAGCAUUUGGUAACGUAGACAAUGCAAUCUUUUGCCAGAAUACCGAACUAAAAGGAAAAAAAGGGUAAAAAAAACAAACGAACGAGUAAAACAGGGGAUUUCAAAAAUGAAAAAUCCUCCAUUGUCAUGACUCAUGAGCUCCGUAGCAUGCCUUUCACUCUUGGUUGCCACCAAUAGUACUAUACGAAUAUUUUAACUGAUGCGACGGCAAAGAGUGAUGCCAUCACCAACAGGAAGCUGGCAAAUUUCGAUUCUGGGAUCAGCAGCCAAGGCCUUGUUGAGUUCCAAUACGAAAUCCCUAUAAUACCUAACAUAUUUCCUUAGGGGUGCAUCAGGUGGUGCUACUACUGAUCCGUUCCAUAGGGUGUUGUCAUAGCCAAUUAAUCCACCAACCUUCACCAAGUCAAUUAAUCUCUUGUGAUAGUUCAAGUAAUUGUCCUUGUCAGCAUCCACAAAUAUGAAAUCAUAUGAUCCAUGAUAUUUGCCCUGUUAUAAAAAAUUAUUCAAAAGAAAGG
Molecule: long non-coding RNA, 4068 nt
Filed under: Solanum tuberosum (potato)
Lineage: Eukaryota; Viridiplantae; Streptophyta; Magnoliopsida; Solanales; Solanaceae
Description: long non-coding RNA (STUB_LNC003218)
Source: RNAcentral